GGAUGGCGCUGCCUUACCAUGCAGUCGACGGCAGCACGGGGGUAACCCUGGUGGCGAGUGGCGAACGGGUGAGUAAUACAUCGGAACGUGUCCUGUAGUGGGGGAUAGCCCGGCGAAAGCCGGAUUAAUACCGCAUACGCUCUACGGAGGAAAGGGGGGGAUCUUAGGACCUCUCGCUACAGGGGCGGCCGAUGGCAGAUUAGCUAGUUGGUGGGGUAAAGGCCUACCAAGGCGACGAUCUGUAGCUGGUCUGAGAGGACGACCAGCCACACUGGGACUGAGACACGGCCCAGACUCCUACGGGAGGCAGCAGUGGGGAAUUUUGGACAAUGGGGGCAACCCUGAUCCAGCAAUGCCGCGUGUGUGAAGAAGGCCUUCGGGUUGUAAAGCACUUUUGUCCGGAAAGAAAACUUCUGCCCUAAUACGGUGGGAGGAUGACGGUACCGGAAGAAUAAGCACCGGCUAACUACGUGCCAGCAGCCGCGGUAAUACGUAGGGUGCAAGCGUUAAUCGGAAUUACUGGGCGUAAAGCGUGCGCAGGCGGUCCGCUAAGACAGAUGUGAAAUCCCCGGGCUUAACCUGGGAACUGCAUUUGUGACUGGCGGGCUAGAGUAUGGCAGAGGGGGGUAGAAUUCCACGUGUAGCAGUGAAAUGCGUAGAGAUGUGGAGGAAUACCGAUGGCGAAGGCAGCCCCCUGGGCCAAUACUGACGCUCAUGCACGAAAGCGUGGGGAGCAAACAGGAUUAGAUACCCUGGUAGUCCACGCCCUAAACGAUGUCAACUAGUUGUUGGGGAUUCAUUUCCUUAGUAACGAAGCUAACGCGUGAAGUUGACCGCCUGGGGAGUACGGUCGCAAGAUUAAAACUCAAGAAAAAUAGAGACAGGGAA
This 888-nucleotide ribosomal RNA is filed under the name Paraburkholderia phenazinium. RNAcentral describes it as "bacterial SSU rRNA". It matches the Rfam family "Bacterial small subunit ribosomal RNA", at positions 38 to 920 of the family's 1533-position model. The record is from RNAcentral. Lineage: Bacteria; Pseudomonadati; Pseudomonadota; Betaproteobacteria; Burkholderiales; Burkholderiaceae.